RNAcentral lists this ribosomal RNA (159 nucleotides) under uncultured bacterium. Its description in RNAcentral is "partial 16S ribosomal RNA". It matches the Rfam family "Bacterial small subunit ribosomal RNA", at positions 355 to 530 of the family's 1533-position model. The record is from RNAcentral.
UGGGGGAUAUUGCACAAUGGGGGGAACCCUGAUGCAGCGACGCCGCGUGGGUGAAGAAGCGCCUCGGCGCGUAAAGCCCUGUCAGCAGGGAAGAAAAUGACGGUACCUGAAGAAGAAGCCCCGGCUAACUACGUGCCAGCAGCCGCGUAAUAUACGUCU